UACGUAGGGGGCGAGCGUUGUCCGGAGUUACUGGGCGUAAAGCGCACGUAGGCGGUCAUGCCAGUUUCCUCUGACAGGUGAGGGCUUAACCCUGGCAGGCGAGGAAAGACGACAUGACUUGAGUGCUUGAGAGGGACGUGGAAUUCCAGGUGGAGCGGUGAAAUGCGUAGAGAUCUGGAAGAACACCAAAGGCGAAGGCAACGUCCUGGCAAGUCACUGACGCUGAGGUGCGAAAGCUAGGGGAG
This 245-nucleotide ribosomal RNA is filed under the name uncultured bacterium. RNAcentral's name for it is "partial 16S ribosomal RNA". It matches the Rfam family "Bacterial small subunit ribosomal RNA", at positions 524 to 768 of the family's 1533-position model. The record is from RNAcentral.